This 460-nucleotide ribosomal RNA is filed under the name uncultured bacterium. Its description in RNAcentral is "partial 16S ribosomal RNA". It matches the Rfam family "Bacterial small subunit ribosomal RNA", at positions 338 to 795 of the family's 1533-position model. The record is from RNAcentral.
CCUACGGGAGGCUGCAGUGAGGAAUAUUGGUCAAUGGGCGCUAGCCUGAACCAGCCAAGUAGCGUGAAGGAUGACUGCCCUAUGGGUUGUAAACUUCUUUUAUAUGGGAAUAAAGUGCAGUAUGUAUACUGCUUUGCAUGUACCUUAUGAAUAAGGAUCGGCUAACUCCGUGCCAGCAGCCGCGGUAAUACGGAGGAUUCGAGCGUUAUCCGGAUUUAUUGGGUUUAAAGGGAGCGUAGGCGGGUUGUUAAGUCAGUUGUGAAAGUUUGGGGCUCAACCGUAAAAUUGCAGUUGAUACUGGCAGCCUUGAGUACAGAAGAGGUAGGCGGAAGUCGUGGUGUAGCGGUGAAAUGCAUAGAUAUCACGAGGAACUCCGAUUGCGAAGGCAGCCUGCUGGACUGUAACUGACGCUGAUGCUCGAAAGUGUGGGUAUCAAACAGGAUUAGAUACCCGAGUAGUC